UAGCUCAGUCAGUUGAGCGUGGCGCUAACAACGCCAAGGUUGCGGGUUCAAUUCCCGU
Molecule: transfer RNA, 58 nt
Filed under: Apaloderma vittatum (bar-tailed trogon)
Lineage: Eukaryota; Metazoa; Chordata; Aves; Trogoniformes; Trogonidae
Rfam family: tRNA
About the family: Transfer RNA (tRNA) molecules are approximately 80 nucleotides in length. Their secondary structure includes four short double-helical elements and three loops (D, anti-codon, and T loops).
Source: Rfam by way of RNAcentral